RNAcentral lists this long non-coding RNA (493 nucleotides) under Pan troglodytes (chimpanzee). RNAcentral's name for it is "long non-coding RNA NONPTRT006977". The record is from RNAcentral. Lineage: Eukaryota; Metazoa; Chordata; Mammalia; Primates; Hominidae.
CUAGAGAAGGCUAGAGAAGGCUGGAGAAGGCUAGAGAAAGCUGGAGAAGGCUAGAGAAAGCUGGAGAAGGCUGGACUACAGAAGGUUAGAGAAGGCUAGAGAAGGUUAGAGAAGGCCAGAGAAGGCUGGGCUAGAGAAGGCUGGAGAAGGCUGGAGGAGGCUGGGCUAGAGGUUAGAGAAGGCUAGAUAAGGUUAGAGAAGGCCAGAGAAGGCUGGGCUAGAGAAGGCUGGAGGAGGCCAGGGAAGGUCAGAGGAGGCUGGAGGAGGCCGGAGGAGGCUGGGCUAGAGAAGGCUGAAGGAGGCUGGAGGAGGCUGGAGAAGGCUAGAGAAGGCUGGAGAAGGCUGGGCUACAGAAGGUUAGAGAAGGCUAGAGAAGGUUGGAGAAGGCCAGAGAAGGCUGGGCUAGAGAAGGCCGGAGGAGGCUGGAGGAGGCCAGAGAAGGCUGGGCUAGAGAAGGCUGGAGAAGGCUGAGCUAGAGGAGGCUGGAGGAGGC